This 330-nucleotide ribosomal RNA is filed under the name uncultured bacterium. Its description in RNAcentral is "bacterial SSU rRNA". It matches the Rfam family "Bacterial small subunit ribosomal RNA", at positions 1 to 334 of the family's 1533-position model. The record is from RNAcentral.
GCGUCGUCUUCAGAGUUUGAUCCUGGCUCAGGAUGAACGCUGGCGGCAUGCCUAACACAUGCAAGUCGAACGAGGUGUACUUGUACACCUAGUGGCGGACGGGUGCGUAACACGUGAGUAACCUGCCCUUUACAACGGGAUAACACGGAGAAAUUUGUGCUAAUACGGUAUGAGACCACAGUACGGCAUCGUACAGGGGUUAAAGUUCAGGCGGUAAAGGAGGGGCUCGCGGCCCAUUAGGUAGUUGGUGAGGUAACGGCUCACCAAGCCGACGAUGGGUAGCCGACCUGAGAGGGUGAUCGGCCACACUGGAACUGAGAUACGGUCCAG